UACGGAGGGUGCGAGCGUUGUCCGGAAUCACUGGGCGUAAAGGGCGCGUAGGUGGCCCGUUAAGUGGCUGGUGAAAUCCCGCGGCUCAACUGCGGGGCUGCCGGUCAGACUGGCGAGCUAGAGCACGGUAGGGGCAGAUGGGAUUCCCGGUGUAGCGGUGGAAUGCGUAGAGAUCGGGAAGAAUACCAGUGGCGAAGGCGUUCUGCUGGGCCGUUGCUGACACUGAGGCGCGACAGCGUGGGGAGCAAACAGG
RNAcentral lists this ribosomal RNA (253 nucleotides) under uncultured bacterium. Its description in RNAcentral is "partial 16S ribosomal RNA". It matches the Rfam family "Bacterial small subunit ribosomal RNA", at positions 524 to 776 of the family's 1533-position model. The record is from RNAcentral.